Arachis ipaensis is the source of this 178-nucleotide non-coding RNA. The record is from RefSeq and is a predicted model, not a curated record. Lineage: Eukaryota; Viridiplantae; Streptophyta; Magnoliopsida; Fabales; Fabaceae.
UUUCCUUUUAGUCCUUUUAGGGGUGGUUCUCAUCUCUUCUGCGGUGGCUCAUGAGCCAUCCAAAGAGGAUGAGUUACAAGUACAAGAAAAUGGAGUUCAAAAAAGAAGCGUUGAGGAUAAUGCCUUGAUGCAUGAAGAACAUUAUGGAGGAGGUGACAGUGGAGGAGGAGGUGGUCAU